This 331-nucleotide ribosomal RNA is filed under the name uncultured Ochrobactrum sp. RNAcentral describes it as "bacterial SSU rRNA". It matches the Rfam family "Bacterial small subunit ribosomal RNA", at positions 1050 to 1382 of the family's 1533-position model. The record is from RNAcentral. Lineage: Bacteria; Pseudomonadati; Pseudomonadota; Alphaproteobacteria; Hyphomicrobiales; Brucellaceae.
UGUCGUCAGCUCGUGUCGUGAGAUGUUGGGUUAAGUCCCGCAACGAGCGCAACCCUCGCCCUUAGUUGCCAGCAUUUAGUUGGGCACUCUAAGGGGACUGCCGGUGAUAAGCCGAGAGGAAGGUGGGGAUGACGUCAAGUCCUCAUGGCCCUUACGGGCUGGGCUACACACGUGCUACAAUGGUGGUGACAGUGGGCAGCGAGCACGCGAGUGUGAGCUAAUCUCCAAAAGCCAUCUCAGUUCGGAUUGCACUCUGCAACUCGAGUGCAUGAAGUUGGAAUCGCUAGUAAUCGCGGAUCAGCAUGCCGCGGUGAAUACGUUCCCGGGCCUU